UGCCAGCCGCCGCGGUAAUACGUAUGGUGCAAGCGUUAUCCGGAAUCACUGGGCGUAAAGGGAGCGUAGGCGGUUUUGCAAGUCAGAAGUGAAAGGCUACGGCUCAACCCAGGAACUGCACUCGAAACUGCCUCGCUGGAGUCUCGGAGAGGGUGGCGGAAUUCCCGGUGUAGAGGUGAAAUUCGUAGAUAUCGGGAGGAACACCAGUGGCGAAGGCGGCCACCUGGAUGAUGACUGACGCUCAGACCCGAAAGCGUGGGGAGCAAACAGGAUUAGAUA
Molecule: ribosomal RNA, 279 nt
Filed under: uncultured bacterium
Lineage: Bacteria
Description: partial 16S ribosomal RNA
Rfam family: Bacterial small subunit ribosomal RNA
Source: RNAcentral